AUUUUUUAUAGUUAUUGUGUUGUUUAACUUUCUUAUAAAAGAGAGUGAGGAAUUAAAAAGGUGGCCACCGAACAGAAAGUUAAACUGCAAUAUAUUAUAAUCAUUUUAGUUCUUGUUUACAUUUUUAACUGAUAAUUUAUUAGUGAUAAAUUAUGAAUAUAAAAUUUCAAAUUAAUUUAAAUUCAAAAAUAAAAGAACACCAACAUAGAUUUCUUAAACAUUAAAAUUUUACUAUAAGUUUAAAUUACAUUUAAUCAGCACAUUAGUUGAAGUUUUAUAGGAACCGAACAUUUGGCUGGAUCAUGGACUACCCACCGACGGAGAAUUUGUCACAAAGCUGAUGGGAAAUGUGUCGGCACUCGACUUCGUUUCACCCGGAGGAAGAUUAGCAGCAUCAAUAAGAAGCUCAUCUUAAUAUCAACUGUCCAAAGGAUUGUGAAGAAGAAGAAGUUGUCACAAAGUUGAUGGGAAAUGUGUCGGCACUCGGAUUCGUUUCAACCCGGAGGAAGAUUUGCAGCAUCAAAAAGAAAUUCAACUGAUAAUCAACCGUCAAAAGGUGAAGAAGAAGAAGUUGUCACAAAGCUGAUGGGAAAUGUGUCGGCACUCGGCUUCGUUUCAACCCGGAGGAAGAUUUGCAGCAUCAAAAAGAAAUUCAACUGAUAAUCAACCGUCAAAAGGUGAAGAAGAAGUUGUCACAAAGUUGAUGGGAAAUGUGUCGGCACUCGGAUUCGUUUCAACCCGGAGGAAGAUUUGCAGCAUCAAAAAGAAAUUCAACUGAUAAUCAACCGUCAAAAGGUGAAGAAGAAGUUGUCACAAAGCUGAUGGGAAAUGUGUCGGCACUCGGAUUCGUUUCAACCCGGAGGAAGAUUUGCAGCAUCAAAAAGAAAUUCAACUGAUAAUCAACCGUCAAAAGGUGAAGAAGAAGUUGUCACAAAGCUGAUGGGAAAUGUGUCGGCACUCGGCUUCGUUUCAACCCGGAGGAAGAUUGGCAGCAUCAAUAAGAAGCUCAUCUUAAUUUAGUUGUCCCCCCUUUACGCAUUAGCGCUCAUCUCUCAUCCACUCAUCCAACACAUUGACUAUCGCCGGCCGGCAACACACACAUAUUAUACACAUUACCCGUUUUAUAUUGUAUAAAAUUAUUAAUAUCUACAUAGUUUAAGUUAUUGUAUAUUUUUUUUUUUAUUAUUUGAAUGCAUUCAUAUGAUCUGUGGCGUAUUUAGGAAUUUUAGGAUAAGAGCAACACAUAUUUUGCCGCCUCCCCUCUAUUAAAAAAAAUUAAAAAACUUCUAUGCCACGCAAUGGUGAAACUGAUAAUACCAUAGAAUACCAUGUUAUAUAAAUACUAUAGUAUUUUAUACCUCCAUGGCACACAUUUGUUGUGAAAAAUAUUUAUGAUUGACGUCACUGCGACAGUACUCAUAAAGUACGAAAUAAAAAUUUGCUGCCCCUCUAAAUCUUUAAAAAUUUGCCGUUCUGGACAACUGGACCCAAAGCCCCUACCUAAAUACGCCCCUGCAUAUAAUGCGUUCGAUGUG
This is a long non-coding RNA of Rhopalosiphum padi (bird cherry-oat aphid), 1535 nucleotides long. RefSeq lists it as uncharacterized. The record is from RefSeq and is a predicted model, not a curated record. The transcript has 6 exons. Lineage: Eukaryota; Metazoa; Arthropoda; Insecta; Hemiptera; Aphididae.